Panicum virgatum (switchgrass) is the source of this 861-nucleotide long non-coding RNA. RefSeq lists it as uncharacterized. The record is from RefSeq and is a predicted model, not a curated record. The transcript has 2 exons. Lineage: Eukaryota; Viridiplantae; Streptophyta; Magnoliopsida; Poales; Poaceae.
UUUGGUGCGACCCUAACCCCCUCCCCCUGGUGGCUCUGCCGUGCAACGAUUGUAUCCGUCCGAUCGCUCCGUGCGAUUCCCCAGCCGCCCCCUCCCUGUCGCUCGCCAUUCCCACGAUGCAGCCCCCUCCCCCGCCAUCUUGCCCCAUCCCCCGUCACCUGCCAUCUCCCGCGAUCCCGUCACGCUGCCCUCCCUAGCGAUCCUGUCUUUCGCCGUCGCCGCCGAACGCGCCCACGCCCCAGCGCCUUGCCAAUUGCCAUCGCCUGAUGAUCCUUGCACUUGCUCUCACCCGCACUGAUCCAAUUGGAUCCUUGCAGAUAUCUGCACUUGCAACUACACGGCCUCCAGCUCCAAUCGGAUCUUGCAAUUGCACUGCCUCCAAUCGGAUAUUGCACCCGCACCUCCAGUCUGAUUGGUUGCGUCCCCCUCAGCAGGUACUUAGUGCCACCAGAUUUUUUCAAUGUGAUCAAGGUCACUGCCCGACGGUGUGCUGCUGUGAUGACCAAUGGAAACCUAAUCAUCCUGAGUUUCACGUCAUAGGCUCUAUCAUUCUCCUGUAAAAGCCAAUUCCAUACCCAUGUCUGAUCUGCACUGUCUGAAUACACACGUCUUAUGGUCUGGUUAGCCCGGUCUAUUUGAUUUAUGUUUUUUCUAUUUGUUAGUUUCUAAUUUUAUAUUCUAGGACUAUACUAUUUUGAGUUCUCAAGGUGGCCAAUUUGAUACCCUUGACCCAUACUGUUUCCAGAAGGCAGAAGCUAUCUGAAUAAAAAGAAUUGAUGCUGGUGGCUCAGUGAAAUGAUCAAUGUUGAGAUAGGGAAUUCAGCCAUGGAAGCUCACUCACAAGAUCAACAAGCAUUAUCG